Molecule: long non-coding RNA, 562 nt
Organism: Archocentrus centrarchus (flier cichlid)
Lineage: Eukaryota; Metazoa; Chordata; Actinopteri; Cichliformes; Cichlidae
Exons: 3
Source: RefSeq, a predicted model, not a curated record
AAUGUACCCUGUUUUCGUUACAGCCGUAGGAGUGCCUGUGCAUCACUUUAAAUCUUCCCCCUCCAAACUAAGCUCUGCUGGAAAGAACCGGCUGCCAGUAGGUGGCAGACUGCGGUCUGGUGGGAAUAUGCACAUUUUCUUUUAUCUCUGGAGGAGAGAGAAAGAAGAAGUUGGCGCCAACAGCCACACUUUGCCUCCUUUUUUGGCGUACCUCACAGUUCCAAGCUGGCAAAAACCACUGGAUUACAAGAGUGUCUUUGGAAUAAAAUCGCCAUACUUUCUACUGUUGUAAGGUUGCAAGAGCUAUGCCUUUAAGAAGAAGGUACAACACAGCCAACCAGGUACAUCCAUCUGUGAGUGCUGAUGGCAGUGCUGGAUCUGCACAGGUGGAACAACUUGACAAUGUAGAGGGUAAAGGAGAAACGCCAGGAACUCCAUCUACGUUGGCUCCAACUGCUACAGCAAUAAUUCAGCAGCUAAGAGACAAAAUUACUGUCCUUGAAGAUGAAAGAAAUUUCCUCAGAGAACAGCUGAAAAAAGCACUGGAUAACAUCCCUACUAC